UCGUAACAAGGUCUCCGUUGGUGAACCAGCGGAGGGAUCAUUACUGAGUUUACGCUCUACAACCCUUUGUGAACAUACCUAUAACUGUUGCUUCGGCGGGUAGGGUCUCCGCGACCCUCCCGGCCUCCCGCCUCCGGGCGGGUCGGCGCCCGCCGGAGGAUAACCAAACUCUGAUUUAACGACGUUUCUUCUGAGUGGUACAAGCAAAUAAUCAAAACUUUUAACAACGGAUCUCUUGGUUCUGGCAUCGAUGAAGAACGCAGCGAAAUGCGAUAAGUAAUGUGAAUUGCAGAAUUCAGUGAAUCAUCGAAUCUUUGAACGCACAUUGCGCCCGCCAGCAUUCUGGCGGGCAUGCCUGUUCGAGCGUCAUUUCAACCCUCAAGCUCUGCUUGGUGUUGGGGCCCUACAGCUGAUGUAGGCCCUCAAAGGUAGUGGCGGACCCUCUCGGAGCCUCCUUUGCGUAGUAACUUUACGUCUCGCACUGGGAUCCGGAGGGACUCUUGCCGUAAAACCCCCAAUUUUCCAAAGGUUGACCUCGGAUCAGGUAGGAAUACCCGCUGAACUUAAGCAUAUCAAU
Molecule: ribosomal RNA, 577 nt
Filed under: Colletotrichum gloeosporioides
Lineage: Eukaryota; Fungi; Ascomycota; Sordariomycetes; Glomerellales; Glomerellaceae
Description: eukaryotic LSU rRNA
Rfam family: 5.8S ribosomal RNA (bases 216-369)
Source: RNAcentral